Molecule: ribosomal RNA, 482 nt
Filed under: uncultured bacterium
Lineage: Bacteria
Description: partial 16S ribosomal RNA
Rfam family: Bacterial small subunit ribosomal RNA
Source: RNAcentral
AUUGAACGCUGGCGGCAGGCCUAACACAUGCAAGUCGAGCGGAUGAAGGGAGCUUGCUCCUGGAUUCAGCGGCGGACGGGUGAGUAAUGCCUAGGAAUCUGCCUGGUAGUGGGGGAUAACGUCCGGAAACGGGCGCUAAUACCGCAUACGUCCUGAGGGAGAAAGUGGGGGAUCUUCGGACCUCACGCUAUCAGAUGAGCCUAGGUCGGAUUAGCUAGUUGGUGGGGUAAAGGCCUACCAAGGCGACGAUCCGUAACUGGUCUGAGAGGAUGAUCAGUCACACUGGAACUGAGACACGGUCCAGACUCCUACGGGAGGCAGCAGUGGGGAAUAUUGGACAAUGGGCGAAAGACUGAUCCAGCCAUGCCGCGUGUGAAGAAGGUCUUCGGAUUGUAAAGCACUUUAAGUUGGGAGGAAGGGCAGUAAGUUAAUACCUUGCUGUUUUGACGUUACCAACAGAAUAAGCACCGGCUAACUUCGUG